This 1480-nucleotide ribosomal RNA is filed under the name Limosilactobacillus fermentum. RNAcentral describes it as "bacterial SSU rRNA". It matches the Rfam family "Bacterial small subunit ribosomal RNA". The record is from RNAcentral. Lineage: Bacteria; Bacillati; Bacillota; Bacilli; Lactobacillales; Lactobacillaceae.
GCACUGGCGGGGUGCUAUACAUGCAGUCGAACGCGUUGGCCCAAUUGAUUGAUGGUGCUUGCACCUGAUUGAUUUUGGUCGCCAACGAGUGGCGGACGGGUGAGUAACACGUAGGUAACCUGCCCAGAAGCGGGGGACAACAUUUGGAAACAGAUGCUAAUACCGCAUAACAGCGUUGUUCGCAUGAACAACGCUUAAAAGAUGGCUUCUCGCUAUCACUUCUGGAUGGACCUGCGGUGCAUUAGCUUGUUGGUGGGGUAACGGCCUACCAAGGCGAUGAUGCAUAGCCGAGUUGAGAGACUGAUCGGCCACAAUGGGACUGAGACACGGCCCAUACUCCUACGGGAGGCAGCAGUAGGGAAUCUUCCACAAUGGGCGCAAGCCUGAUGGAGCAACACCGCGUGAGUGAAGAAGGGUUUCGGCUCGUAAAGCUCUGUUGUUAAAGAAGAACACGUAUGAGAGUAACUGUUCAUACGUUGACGGUAUUUAACCAGAAAGUCACGGCUAACUACGUGCCAGCAGCCGCGGUAAUACGUAGGUGGCAAGCGUUAUCCGGAUUUAUUGGGCGUAAAGAGAGUGCAGGCGGUUUUCUAAGUCUGAUGUGAAAGCCUUCGGCUUAACCGGAGAAGUGCAUCGGAAACUGGAUAACUUGAGUGCAGAAGAGGGUAGUGGAACUCCAUGUGUAGCGGUGGAAUGCGUAGAUAUAUGGAAGAACACCAGUGGCGAAGGCGGCUACCUGGUCUGCAACUGACGCUGAGACUCGAAAGCAUGGGUAGCGAACAGGAUUAGAUACCCUGGUAGUCCAUGCCGUAAACGAUGAGUGCUAGGUGUUGGAGGGUUUCCGCCCUUCAGUGCCGGAGCUAACGCAUUAAGCACUCCGCCUGGGGAGUACGACCGCAAGGUUGAAACUCAAAGGAAUUGACGGGGGCCCGCACAAGCGGUGGAGCAUGUGGUUUAAUUCGAAGCUACGCGAAGAACCUUACCAGGUCUUGACAUCUUGCGCCAACCCUAGAGAUAGGGCGUUUCCUUCGGGAACGCAAUGACAGGUGGUGCAUGGUCGUCGUCAGCUCGUGUCGUGAGAUGUUGGGUUAAGUCCCGCAACGAGCGCAACCCUUGUUACUAGUUGCCAGCAUUAAGUUGGGCACUCUAGUGAGACUGCCGGUGACAAACCGGAGGAAGGUGGGGACGACGUCAGAUCAUCAUGCCCCUUAUGACCUGGGCUACACACGUGCUACAAUGGACGGUACAACGAGUCGCGAACUCGCGAGGGCAAGCAAAUCUCUUAAAACCGUUCUCAGUUCGGACUGCAGGCUGCAACUCGCCUGCACGAAGUCGGAAUCGCUAGUAAUCGCGGAUCAGCAUGCCGCGGUGAAUACGUUCCCGGGCCUUGUACACACCGCCCGUCACACCAUGAGAGUUUGUAACACCCAAAGUCGGUGGGGUAACCUUUUAGGAGCCAGCCGCCUAAGGUGACAGAUUG